This 465-nucleotide ribosomal RNA is filed under the name Salmonella enterica subsp. enterica serovar Enteritidis. Its description in RNAcentral is "partial 23S ribosomal RNA". It matches the Rfam family "Bacterial large subunit ribosomal RNA", at positions 161 to 668 of the family's 2925-position model. The record is from RNAcentral. Lineage: Bacteria; Pseudomonadati; Pseudomonadota; Gammaproteobacteria; Enterobacterales; Enterobacteriaceae.
AAUCCAUAGGUUAAUGAGGCGAACCGGGGGAACUGAAACAUCUAAGUACCCCGAGGAAAAGAAAUCAACCGAGAUUCCCCCAGUAGCGGCGAGCGAACGGGGAGGAGCCCAGAGCCUGAAUCAGCAUGUGUGUUAGUGGAAGCGUCUGGAAAGGCGCGCGAUACAGGGUGACAGCCCCGUACACAAAAGCGCAUGUGCUGUGAGCUCGAUGAGUAGGGCGGGACACGUGGUAUCCUGUCUGAAUAUGGGGGGACCAUCCUCCAAGGCUAAAUACUCCUGACUGACCGAUAGUGAACCAGUACCGUGAGGGAAAGGCGAAAAGAACCCCGGCGAGGGGAGUGAAAAAGAACCUGAAACCGUGUACGUACAAGCAGUGGGAGCACCCUUUGGGUGUGACUGCGUACCUUUUGUAUAAUGGGUCAGCGACUUAUAUUCUGUAGCAAGGUUAACCGAAUAGGGGAGCCG